UACCCCGCGGUGGCGGCCCAGACACGCUCCGGGAUGCCCCGCGGUGGCGGCCAAGACGCGCUCUCGCGAUAUCCUGCGGUGGUGGCCCAGAAGCGCUGUCGCGAUACCCCGCGGUGGCGUUGGGGUGACUGGGCGGGCCGCAAGCCGGGACGCAGUUUCCGAGCACAGAGAUGACAGAAAAUAAAAGCGGUGCGUUACCUCCGCCAACCAUUUCCUUUGCUCAUUUGGAUGGGAAGCCGCCACUCCUUUGUGCCAGAGGCUGUGCUAAGUGACAUAACUGUGAGCUGCAGGGGGAAAUCCAGGAUAUCAAAGCUGUGCAGCUGGCGGCAAUGUCAAAGCCAGGAAGACCCCUCCACUUGGUGCAAUUGCAUCUGAAAUAAACCUGUGCAGACACCA
Microcebus murinus (gray mouse lemur) is the source of this 396-nucleotide non-coding RNA. NCBI's taxonomy places the organism in Eukaryota, Metazoa, Chordata, Mammalia, Primates, Cheirogaleidae. The record is from RefSeq and is a predicted model, not a curated record.